GACGCGCACGCUGCCCUCUGACCUCGCAGCCACGUGGCCAGAGUAGGGUCUGGAGAGAGCUCCCGCUGUGGCGAGUCCUGUCGUUGCAUUCCAGCGGCGCCCCGUGAGGCUCCGCCCGGCGGUGCUACCAAAGCCUGUUCGAUUUUAGAAUCUUACAUUCCUAGAGGGAAUCCUAGAACCCUCAUUUUACAAUUGAGGAAACAGGCCCCAGUAGCAUGACUUGUUCCCGCCGCUAGUUGAAGGAGAAGUAGCCCCGAUCCCUUGACUCCGGGGCACUGCUUUCCCUUUGGCUCAUUUUUGGAGGAAAUGGGUCAGCCCUUGCUCGACCUUUGGUGAUUGCCGCCACAGGCUUUCCCGCCGGCUAACCCAGCGUGCCCAAGUCCCGUGACUUAGUGCCAGGACGGUGCUGUGACCCGUUAUCCCCUGUCGGGUUUUACGUCCCCCGGGACUGAACGCAGCCCUGGAUCCCGGCGGGCGGCAGAGCCUCUCUGGAGCUCAGACGGGACAGCCCACUAGGGUCUGCUUCUGUGAGGGGCUGAGGCGUCAUUCCGGGAAGCCUUCUCCUUGCUGUCGCCAUGUGAAGAAGGACGUGUUUGCUUCCCUUUCUGCCAUGAUUGAAAAGAAGCAUAAGCUGCAAUAAAAAUUUGGUUUCAAGAUAACAAAGUCAGUCCCCAAAAAUCAGUAUUGAGAGUCACUGCCAUUAAAUGAAGAAGAUACAAGGAUGGUGUGGGGAUCUUCACUCUUCAGAGAUGAGCUAUACAUGCCCCUGAAAGGCUGUCUGAGGGCAGGAGAAGGAUGGAGAUGACAACUCUGGCCUCUGCCAAGUACUUGUGCUAUUUUCUGGAUGUGAUACUAUCUGUUUUGUAACUCAGAGGCAACACCACAUACUUAGCACAAGGCUCGAACUCCCUUUGGGGUUAUCAAUUACUUACAUAGCCUUCCUCUAAGGGAAGGCUUGCAAAUGGUUCAUAUUCAACCCUUACAUGUGAUAAGCAUUCAUGUGGGCUUCACAAUGUAACAGAGGUACACAGGGAUUCUUGUAAACAGAAAAUUUUAUAAACAGUUAACUGAUCUCACUUUGAAGAAGUCUUAAUGACUAGAUGCCCUUUAUCAGAGUAGACAGGCUUAAAAUGCAUUGCUUGUAGUAUUCUGUUGUAAUGCCUUUUUUUUUUGUUUUUGCAUUGGUUUUUAAUUCAUUUAAUUGGUUUAAAUUCUUUUUUUUUACAUUUCAUUUUUGCAUUUGUAUGCCAGUUAAAAAGUAUGAAAUGGCACACUGUGGGAUUUUGUUUACCUAAAUUCUAGAAAGAUUGAAAGACACCUUUUAUUUGAAUUAAGUAAGCCUGAGGUUAUUCAGCAUGAGUGAUCUCUGCAUUUCUGAAAGGUUAUCUUGUCGUUUAAUAAACACAAAUAACUUAAGCACACUGGAAGAGCUAUUAAAUGAGAGCAGGAGAUUAAAACGACAUGAUUUCUUACUUUGUCCACCUGAAAGGAGAGCUUGCGUUGGUGAUUAAUCUUGCACUGUUAAAUUCAGUUCCUAAAUAUUUAGAUAAAUAGUUGGUCUGAUCAUUAUUUGUAAAGUAUUAGUAGUUGCAUGUUGAAUUAUCAUGUUAAGAUUUUUAGUUUGUUGUUCAUGUGACAUGAAAGAUAACAAUUCCUAAAACUGAAUGCAUGGCUUAUUCAGCUCAGGUCACAUACAAAUAGAAACACUGAUGCUGCAAUAAACACAGUAAAGUUAUCCUGGUUUGAAGCAAAAUGGCUGUGAAGUAAGGUAUAUACACUUUUGUAUGUAUCUUUUCAGUUCUAGUAAACUCAUCUGGAAUCAAGUAACAGAAAAUGAUUCUCCAGGUCCAAACACAUCUAAGUUUAAUGACUGGGGCUAUUCUAACAAUUGUGGCUAUCUCAUUUUUUCUCACUAGUUCAUUAGCAUAGCACCCAUUUAAGAACAACUACUUAUAAACAUAGUAAUGUUUCAGAGGCUAUAAAAUAAUAGAGGAAGAAAACUUAAAAAAUCCUUUGUUUGUAGCCAAGAAAAUGUGAGGAUCAGAUUUGUAUUUGUUUUGAACAAUUGGAAACUGUCACAAUUGUUUUUAAGAUGUAACAAAUGUAUAUAAAAUAUGGGAUUCUGUAGUAUUAGCCAUUUUGAUAUAUUUUGUUGAAAGAAAAAAUCAAAAAACCCUAUAUGUUCUAAGGCUCAGAAAUCAAAGAAUUCCACAAUUUUCAUUUCCACUAAAAUAUUUAUUUAAUUGAUAUCUUACAGAAAUAAAUAAAAACAGUUUUUGUCUAAUACAGAUAAUUUUUAUAUAUAUAUGUAAUUUGUUUUUACAAAAUUGAAGCAUAUCAAAUUGUUUUCUCUAAAACAUAGCUCAGAAAGGAAUAGUAGAAAAUAAACACAAAGAAAUACUGAAGUAGUCUCAUUUUUAAAUUAUAAGCAUGGGCCUUCUGAAUCUCAGUAUGACAUGUUAUUAGUAAAAGAAUGUAAGAUAUGGAGUCAGGGUACCUGGGCUCCACUGUUUACUUGCUACAUGUCCUAAGAAAGUUUCAAUGUAUCUGAACUUCAGUUCUCUACCUUUAAAACAGGAAUGAUAUUAAUUGUAUCAACUUCACAAGAUUGUUGGGCAAAUUAAACAUGUAAAUGUACAGGAAAGCUCUUUUUAAUAUGUAAAGAGCUAUAAAAAUAAGUUUGAUUUAAUUUCAUAUAAAAGAAUCAAUGCAUACCUCCUUUUAACUGAAGAAUAAGCACCAAAAGCAUGUGUGUGUUUUCUUCAGUUGAAUUACAUCACUCUAUAAACCUAGAGUAAGAAAAUGCACCUUAACUGAGCACCAAAGCCUCUCGGACAAAUGGGAUCCAGGGGAUGGUUCUAUGAGUUUGCCAGGCAGCUAACUAGGAGCUAAUAAGUCCUGAGGGUCAAAAAAGGUCCUUUAAAACUCUGAAGGCUCAAAGAAAAGGAAGCCAAACAAGAACAUUUGUAUUACAUCAAAUGGCUAGGAUAUAACAAGCUACUCCUUAUUCAGCAAUUUCAAAGUCCAUUAAUUCCUCACAGAAGAAGAACACUUGGUUAUUAGCACUUGCAACGAUUCGCUUAUGUGAACAUGGCAUUCUCUUGUUCAAAAGGUCAAAGACUCGUGCUUAAGGGAGGAACAACUGGAGUGAAAUAACAACUCUACCAUGAAUUCAGAUAUCACUGGCUAAAAAGUUCUAGUUACACAAGAACAUGGGAGAGAAAAAGAAUCCAAGACAUCAGUAUAAUAAUGAUUGAAACAAAACCCUGCCAUAUUUCCAUGUUAUAAUAACACAAAAUCAUAAAAACUGCAAUAUUUACAGAUACAUCAAUCUUACAACAUAUAAAAACUUUAACAAUAAGAAAAAUUAAGAGUAGAGAAAGCAGAUAAUUUUAAGGUAAUCAUUAAUACAUUAAAAAAAUCUAUUUGGAGUCAACUGUCUACACUAACACCACUUUACACAUAAUAGAAGUAUGAAUAUUUUCAUUGUUUUUGUUUUCAGUAGCAAGAUGCAGAAGAAAGAAAUAACUGUCUAACAUUAACUUAUUCUAAGGAGUUGUAUUAUUGCAAAAUUACUAGUUGUAAAGUUAUGGUAUAAGCCUACUCAAAAAAUGAAUUAAUGUAAUUCACCAUCUACUUAAAAUAUUACUAACAAGAUACUGGUGAAUCAUGUGCUAAAGAUACUGAAGGCCCUUCCAAAAACUGAGAUCUAUGUUGGUUGAAUAUACCAGGUCAUAUAAAACUAGACUAGUUUACUUUCUUAUUCCAACUCUUUUUAUGACUGAUCUUAUCAUAAGAAAAGUACACAUUACCUCUCUUAAUUCCCUUGCAUCGUCAGAUAUAGAUAUUAUUUGGGACAAAAAAUAAAUAUUUUAUUAGGAGUGUAAAAUUAAAAAUCUUUAUAGAUCUUCUGAAAACAGUAUAUUGAAAAGGACUCAGUAAGUACUAGGCCACUGUAUAACCAGAACAAGAAACAAAUUCAUUCAACUAGAAACAGUGGUAACUGUUAUCUACUGGGUUUUUAAAACUUGUAACUUUGCUCUACAGCUAUGAAAGUUUAUUAAUACACUAAAGUCCAUGGAAUGAAUCAAGUGUAGUUCAUUCAAGCUCUUCAGUUUCUUUGGUAAACAGGUCUGCCAGGUCAGCCACGGUCAAGACGGAAGCCUCUGAAUGCUUCACUGAUGAGUUCGUGUGACUGCAAGGUUUUCCAAAUGAGCACAGUGAGAAAGAAACCCCAAGCCAUCAGUGAUUGUAUUUGUAGUAAUACGAACUAGACACAUAUUUUUUCUUAAGUUUUUGUAACUGGGCUAUAAGAAACUCCCAGAGGAAAGCAAGUGAUAAGAUCAUUGUUAUAACUUGUCAAAACUAGUGAAGACUUCUAUAUAUUACGUUUAGGGUUUGUCAAAAUGUUUUUUUCUCUGUGCAAUUAACAGAACAAAGAACAAAACUCUUGACAACUGCUA
Molecule: long non-coding RNA, 4463 nt
Organism: Rhinopithecus roxellana (golden snub-nosed monkey)
Lineage: Eukaryota; Metazoa; Chordata; Mammalia; Primates; Cercopithecidae
Exons: 3
Source: RefSeq, a predicted model, not a curated record